RNAcentral lists this ribosomal RNA (750 nucleotides) under uncultured cyanobacterium. RNAcentral's name for it is "bacterial SSU rRNA". It matches the Rfam family "Bacterial small subunit ribosomal RNA", at positions 8 to 796 of the family's 1533-position model. The record is from RNAcentral. Lineage: Bacteria; Bacillati; Cyanobacteriota.
AGAGUUUGAUCAUGGCUCAGGAUGAACGCUGGCGGUAUGCUUAACACAUGCAAGUCGAACGGAAUGCUUCGGCAUUUAGUGGCGGACGGGUGAGUAACGCGUGAGAAUCUGGCUUUAGGUUCGGGACAACAGUGGGAAACUGCUGCUAAUACCGAAUGUGCCGUAAGGUGAAAGAUUAAUUGCCUGAAGAUGAGCUCGCGUCUGAUUAGCUAGUUGGUAGGGUAAAGGCCUNCCAAGGCGACGAUCAGUAACUGGUCUGAGAGGAUGACCAGUCACACUGGGACUGAGACACGGCCCAGACUCCUACGGGAGGCAGCAGUGGGGGAAUUUUCCCGCAAUGGGCGAAAAGCCUGACGGGAGCAAUACCGCGUGAGGGAGGAAGGCUCUUGGGUUGUAANCCUCUUUUCUCAGGGAAGAACAAAAUGACGGUACCUGAGGAAUAAGCAUCGGCUAACUCCGUGCCAGCAGCCGCGGUAAUACGGAGGAUGCAAGCGUUAUCCGGAAUUAUUGGGCGUAAAGCGUCCGCAGGUGGCAAUUCAAGUCUGCUGUUAAAGGUUCUGGCUCAACCAGGAACAGGCAGUGGAAACUGAAUAGCUAGAGUGCGGUAGGGGCAGAGGGAAUUCCCAGUGUAGCGGUGAAAUGCGUAGAGAUCAGGAAGAACACCGGUGGCGAAAGCGCUCUGCUGGACCUUAACUGACACUGAGGGACGAAAGCUAGGGGAGCGAAUGGGAUUAGAUACCCCCGUAGUCC